UCUCCGUAGGUGAACCUGCGGAGGGAUCAUUACUGAGUGAGGGCUUCGGUCCGACCUCCAACCCUUUGUGAACCAAACUUGUUGCUUUGGGGGCGACCCUGCCGCUUCGGCGGUGUGGCGCCCCCGGAGGCCAUUAAACACUGCAUCAUCGCGUCGGAGUUAAAGUAAAUUAAACAAAGCUUUCAACAACGGAUCUCUUGGUUCCAGCAUCGAUGAAGAACGCAGC
RNAcentral lists this unclassified non-coding RNA (226 nucleotides) under uncultured fungus. Its description in RNAcentral is "sequence contains ITS1, 5.8S rRNA gene". The stretch from base 178 to 226 matches the Rfam family "5.8S ribosomal RNA", at positions 1 to 49 of the family's 154-position model. Lineage: Eukaryota; Fungi. The record is from RNAcentral.